Molecule: long non-coding RNA, 2495 nt
Organism: Macaca fascicularis (crab-eating macaque)
Lineage: Eukaryota; Metazoa; Chordata; Mammalia; Primates; Cercopithecidae
Source: Ensembl
GACCAGCCUCAUCAACAUAGCGAGACCCCAUCUCUAUUAAAAAAAAUAAAUAGGCAGAACUAAACUAGCCCCAGUGUCACAAAACUCAACUGGUCAUAUAAAUGAGUGAAACAGGCCUCUCAAGUGGUGUAAAACAGCUGGGAGUAGUGGGAGCUGUGGCAAACUGAAGUGCCCAAGCCCCAUUUAAAAAAGGCAUCUGUUCAGCUCCAUCUGCUUGCUGCCAUGCAAGAAUGCUAAACCAGGAUAACCAGUUCUUCACAUUUUUUGAAAUCCAGAUUUUCAUGAGAAAUAUUCUCAUUUUUAAAUAUCAAGAACUGAUUUUAAAAUGUUUAAAUAGUGCUGGUUAAACAAACACUUCUGCAGCUGGAUUUAGGUUGCAAGCUGCCAAGUUGCAACCUCUUUCAUUCUAGAAACUUCUGUCAUUUUCAUCAUAGCAAAUCUAUGUGGACAAAAGCCUCCAAAUUUUCCAACUGUGUAGGCCAGUACAGCUGGCAAGGUUCAUAGAAUAUAACGACUAUCCCCCUCUGCCAAAUAAGACUAUCCACAACCCAGCUCAGACACAGUAGUUAUAUGGAUUUUGUGUCCAUACAGGGGAGGCCUUGGUGUCCUCACAUACAUUCUCCUAGCCAACAUCUAUCCAGCAGCCCUGACCUCCUGCUAUAAUUUAAGUCUAUUUCCUUUUAGUCUAAUAAGAGUUGAUAGUAAAAAGGCAGGUGAUGGAAAUCAGUGUAUAAAUCACAAUGGAGUAUAUUGGCGACUCCACAGCUUAUAGUUUGAUAAAGGCAAAUACGUGAAAAAUGAAAAUGCUACUAAUGCCCCAAGGUGUCUAUCAAAAUGAUGUAGGGGGUAUCUUAAACUGUCCAAAACAAUCAUGCAUUGAACUUUAUUCCUAUGCAGAGCCAAUAGUGUUGAUAAAAUAGUUAAACUUUCUAAACUGGAGAGGAGGCUACAGUGCCAGAGAGUUAUUGUCUCUUUUGCUUUAAAUGGUAAUCUUAAAAGUUGCAUUGUGCUCUUCCUUUGUUUGGGGAUAGAUAUAUAUAGAGAGAGAUACUAUAAGGAAGUUUAUUUCUUAGGAAGUGCACUGAAUAAUGCAUUUCUUUUACAGUGUAAUAUGGGGGUGGGGAUAUGCAAAAGAAAUGUGUAUUUUUGCUAGUUGCCUAUCUUCUGAGAUAAAUAAGCACAAUCUUGCAAUGGAUCCAAUAACCCAGUUAGGUAUUAUAGAUUAGUAUUUAAGUUUGCUGUAGAUUGUGUGUGUGUGCUAAGUAAAAGUUCCAUGAUUCACAAUUUUAGUAUUAACCCAUGUUGCAAAAGCUGUUACCGGCCAACAGAUUGUAAUGAUGUGUACCAUAUAACACAAGCAUUAACUAGGCAUUAACGUUUGUAAAGCCAAAUACACCAUGCAGAAGUCUUCAUUUUUAUAACAGACUACAUUAAAACAAGUUAAAUCAUGCUGUUUGGGGGGAAAAUAGUCUUGUUUGUACAAAGUGAAAAAUGGCACAAUUUGGGCAUAUUUUGUUGGGAAGAGGGGGUGGUAUAGAGGGAGCACUUGACUGUGGCUUUGACAAACCAAAUGAAGUCAAUGACCCAUCCAGGUUAGACUCCCUAAGGAACUAAAACAUUGAUUUUCUUUAGAGUCUUAGAGCUGGAAAAAGCCUUUACAAUAAUCCAGUCUGUGAUUUUUUAAACCAUUUGGUGGUUCUGGACCUUUUUGAGAAUCUUAGAAAAGAUGUAAAGUUUAUCCCUAGAAAAAUGAAUAUGCCUAUAUGCAAAAUUUGUUUGAUGGCUUCAUAGGAUCCAGAGACCCUGAAGCCAUCCAUGGCUCAUGUAUUCCUGCUUAAGAAAGCAUAGUCUUGUUCUGCCCUCUCAUUUUACAAAUGAUUAAUGCAACCCUUUUCAACUACUCCAGUGCUGUUGCUGCUGCAAUGUUAGCAAAUGCAAGCCAGACAGAAGCACUUGAAAAUCCUUUGAUGUACAAAAAAUGUUCAAACAGUGUGGAUGUUUACAUAUCUGAUGUUGCCAGCAUUUAAGCCAAUUAAUGAUCAUUUCAACAAAUACUAGCUAUAGCCAGUUUCCCUUAAUAGCCUGUCAGCAGUGCUGCCUUGUCAGUUUGUGUGCGUGUGUGUGUGUCUGUGUGUGUGAAUUCAUAAGGAGUGCUUCUGAUGCGUAGUCCUUGAAAUGGAACUUCAAAUGUCUUUCGAAACGCUGGCUUCAAAAUAGGAUGUGUUUUCCUAAUGAAUCAGAAGUAGGCAGUGAGCAUUGUUCCACAGGAAUAAUUUUUAAUUUAAUUUCUAUCAAACUAGUUGAGAAAUGAGAGCCUGUCUACCCACUAUUUGUAUAUCAAUGGCCAAUUCAUUAGUAAAAAUAAAGGAGGAGAAAGGAGACUGGAGUAGUGGUUCUCAAACUUUACUGUGUGUUACUAUAACCUGGGAAGCCAGGUAAAAUAAAGAUUUCUGGAGAUUGGAUCCUCUGACUAGCUGAUGCAGCUAGUCUGUUUU